RNAcentral lists this ribosomal RNA (253 nucleotides) under uncultured prokaryote. RNAcentral describes it as "partial 16S ribosomal RNA". It matches the Rfam family "Bacterial small subunit ribosomal RNA", at positions 525 to 777 of the family's 1533-position model. The record is from RNAcentral.
ACGAAGGGGGCUAGCGUUGCUCGGAAUCACUGGGCGUAAAGGGUGCGUAGGCGGUCCUUUAAGUCUGAUGUGAAAGCCCACGGCUCAACCGUGGAGGGUCAUUGGAAACUGGGGGACUUGAGUGUAGAAGAGGAAAGUGGAAUUCCACGUGUAGCGGUGAAAUGCGUAGAGAUGUGGAGGAACACCAGUGGCGAAGGCGACUUUCUGGUCUGUAACUGACGCUGAGGCGCGAAAGCGUGGGGAGCAAACAGGA